This 460-nucleotide ribosomal RNA is filed under the name uncultured bacterium. RNAcentral's name for it is "partial 16S ribosomal RNA". It matches the Rfam family "Bacterial small subunit ribosomal RNA", at positions 338 to 795 of the family's 1533-position model. The record is from RNAcentral.
CCUACGGGUGGCAGCAGUGAGGAAUAUUGGUCAAUGGACGAGAGUCUGAACCAGCCAAGUAGCGUGAAGGAUGACUGCCCUAUGGGUUGUAAACUUCUUUUAUAUGGGAAUAAAAUGUUCCACGUGUGGGAUUUUGUAUGUACCAUAUGAAUAAGGAUCGGCUAACUCCGUGCCAGCAGCCGCAGUAAUACGGAGGAUCCGAGCGUUAUCCGGAUUUAUUGGGUUUAAAGGGAGCGUAGGUGGAUUGUUAAGUCAGUUGUGAAAGUUUGCGGCUCAACCGUAAAAUUGCAGUUGAAACUGGCAGUCUUGAGUACAGUAGAGGUGGGCGGAAUUCGUGGUGUAGCGGUGAAAUGCUUAGAUAUCACGAAGAACUCCGAUUGCGAAGGCAGUUCACUGGACUGCAACUGACACUGAGGCUCGAAAGUGUGGGUAUCAAACAGGAUUAGAUACCCGAGUAGUC